This 232-nucleotide ribosomal RNA is filed under the name uncultured bacterium. Its description in RNAcentral is "partial 16S ribosomal RNA". It matches the Rfam family "Bacterial small subunit ribosomal RNA", at positions 94 to 334 of the family's 1533-position model. The record is from RNAcentral.
AGCCGCGAACGGGUGAGUAACACGUGGGUUACCUGCCUCGAUGACCGGGACAACCCGAGGAAACUCGGGCUAAUACCGGAUGUGCCCGCAAGGGGAAAGGAAGCUUCGGCCUCCGCAUCGAGAUGGGCCCGCGGCCCAUUAGCUUGUUGGUGAGGUAACGGCUCACCAAGGCUUCGAUGGGUAGCUGGUCUGAGAGGACGAUCAGCCACACUGGGACUGAGACACGGCCCAG